RNAcentral lists this ribosomal RNA (253 nucleotides) under uncultured bacterium. RNAcentral describes it as "partial 16S ribosomal RNA". It matches the Rfam family "Bacterial small subunit ribosomal RNA", at positions 524 to 776 of the family's 1533-position model. The record is from RNAcentral.
UACGUAGGGGGCAAGCGUUGUCCGGAAUCAUUGGGCGUAAAGAGCGUGUAGGCGGCCAGAUAAGUCCGCUGUGAAAUCUCGAGGCUCAACUUCGAGCUGUCGGUGGAAACUGUCUGGCUAGAGUCCGGAAGAGGAGAAUGGAAUUCCUGGUGUAGCGGUGAAAUGCGCAGAUAUCAGGAAGAACACCAGUGGCGAAGGCGGCUCACUGGCCCGGUACUGACGCUGAGGUGCGAAAGCGUGGGGAGCAAACAGG